Molecule: long non-coding RNA, 153 nt
Organism: Dipodomys spectabilis (banner-tailed kangaroo rat)
Lineage: Eukaryota; Metazoa; Chordata; Mammalia; Rodentia; Heteromyidae
Exons: 3
Source: RefSeq, a predicted model, not a curated record
GUACAUAUUUUACGAUUACUGGACUUCUGGCAGAGUGGAGUUCAAGGUACAAGGAGUGACCCAGUUCCUUGAGUCCUGACUUUGGCUUCCACUGCUGUAGAAUGGCUGGGAACUCCCUGCCUUGUUGCCUUGCUUCUGCUCUUUAGAACUACU